Molecule: non-coding RNA, 75 nt
Filed under: uncultured Acetatifactor sp.
Lineage: Bacteria; Bacillati; Bacillota; Clostridia; Lachnospirales; Lachnospiraceae
Description: Cyclic di-GMP-I riboswitch
Rfam family: c-di-GMP-I riboswitch aptamer
About the family: GEMM was predicted in a large-scale screen for bacterial structured RNA regulatory elements.
Source: RNAcentral
AUAGAAGGGCAAAAUACUUGAAAAAGUAUGACGCAAAGCUAUAGGACCUGAACAAAAGUAUGGUAGCCAGCUGCA